GUUGUAUAGUUAAGUGAGAAAGCGUACAGGGCGGAUGCCUUGGCAAUCAGAGGCGAAGAAGGACGUGCUAAUCUGCGAAAAGCGUGGGUGAGUUGAUAAGAAGCGUUUAACCCACGAUGUCCGAAUGGGGAAACCCGAUAGGCGAAGAGCCUAUCAUUGCGAGGUGAAUAAAAUAGCCUCGUAAGGCGAACCGGGAGAACUGAAACAUCUAAGUACCCCGAGGAAAAGAAAUCAACCGAGAUUCUGUGAGUAGCGGCGAGCGAAAGCGGAGGAGCCAGUAAGUAAUAGCAGCAGAGAUAGAGGAAUUGUCUGGGAAGGCAAGCGACACAGGGUGAUAGCCCCGUACUUAAAAUCCAGGCUGUGGUACUAAGCUUACGAGAAGUAGGGCGGGACACGAGGAAUCCUGUCUGAAGAUGGGGGGACCAUCCUCCAAGGCUAAAUACUCCUGAUUGACCGAUAGUGAACCAGUACUGUGAAGGAAAGGCGAAAAGAACCCCGGUGAGGGGAGUGAAAUAGAACCUGAAACCCUGUACGUACAAGCAGUGGGAGCCCCAUCACUCAAACACAUUGAGUGUUGGAAGAGGCAAAAAGCACCAAAAAUAACACCGCACUUUAAAGUGUAGGGUACGACGAGCGAAGCGAGUCAAACCCAAAAAUAGCAGUGUGAUUGAGUGAUGGGGUGACUGCGUACCUUUUGUAUAAUGGGUCAGCGACUUAUAUUUUGUAGCGAGGUUAACUGAAUAAGGGAGCCGAAGGGAAACCGAGUCUUAACUGGGCGGUGAGUUGCAAGGUAUAGACCCGAAACCCGGUGAUCUAGCCAUGGGCAGGUUGAAGGUUGGGUAACACUAACUGGAGGACCGAACCGACUAAUGUUGAAAAAUUAGCGGAUGACCUGUGGCUGGGGGUGAAAGGCCAAUCAAACCGGGAGAUAGCUGGUUCUCCCCGAAAUCUAUUUAGGUAGAGCCUUGUGUGAAUACCUUUGGGGGUAGAGCACUGUUUCGGCUAGGGGCCCAUCCCGGGUUACCAAACCGAUGCAAACUCCGAAUACCAAAGAGUAAUGCACAGGAGACACACGGCGGGUGCUAACGUCCGUCGUGGAGAGGGAAACAACCCAGACCGCCAGCUAAGGUCCCAAAAUCUAUAUUAAGUGGGAAACGAAGUGGGAAGGCUUAGACAGCUAGGAUGUUGGCUUAGAAGCAGCCACCAUUUAAAGAAAGCGUAAUAGCUCACUAGUCGAGUCGGCCUGCGCGGAAGAUGUAACGGGGCUAAAAUAUAGUACCGAAGCUGCGGCAUCAAUCGAAGGAUUGUUGGGUAGGGGAGCGUUGUGUAAGCGGAAGAAGGUGGUUCGAGAGGAUUGCUGGACGUAUCACAAGUGCGAAUGCUGACAUAAGUAACGAUAAAACGGGUGAAAAACCCGUUCGCCGGAAGACCAAGGGUUCCUGUCCAACGUUAAUCGGGGCAGGGUGAGUCGGCCCCUAAGGCGAGGCUGAAAAGCGUAGUCGAUGGGAAACGGGUUAAUAUUCCCGUACUUGGUAAAGCUGCGAUGUGGGGACGGAGAAGGUUAGGUUAUCGACCUGUUGGAGAUGGUCGUUUAAGUUGGUAGGUGGGUGAGUUAGGCAAAUCCGGCUCACCGUUAACACUGAGAGAUGAUGACGAGGCACUAAGGUGCUGAAGUAACUGAUACCACACUUCCAGGAAAAGCCACUAAGCUUCAGGCUUUACUAAACCGUACUGAAAACCGACACAGGUGGUCAGGUAGAGAAUACUCAGGCGCUUGAGAGAACUCGGGUGAAGGAACUAGGCAAAAUAGCACCGUAACUUCGGGAGAAGGUGUGCCGGCGUAGAUUGUAGUGACUUGCUCACGAAGGUUGAACCGGUCGAAGAUACCAGCUGGCUGCAACUGUUUAUUAAAAACACAGCACUCUGCAAACACGAAAGUGGACGUAUAGGGUGUGAUGCCUGCCCGGUGCUGGAAGGUUAAUUGAUGGUGUAAUCGAAAGAGAAGCUCCUGAUCGAAGCCCCAGUAAACGGCGGCCGUAACUAUAACGGUCCUAAGGUAGCGAAAUUCCUUGUCGGGUAAGUUCCGACCUGCACGAAUGGCAUAAUGAUGGCCAGGCUGUCUCCACCCGAGACUCAGUGAAAUUGAAAUCGCCGUGAAGAUGCGGUGUACCCGCGGCUAGACGGAAAGACCCCGUGAACCUUUACUAUAGCUUGACACUGAACCUUGAAUUUUGAUGUGUAGGAUAGGUGGGAGACUAUGAAGCGGUAACGCCAGUUAUCGUGGAGUCGUUGUUGAAAUACCACCCUUUAACGUUUGAUGUUCUAACGAAGUGCCUGAAACGGGUACUCGGACAGUGUCUGGUGGGUAGUUUGACUGGGGCGGUCUCCUCCCAAAGUGUAACGGAGGAGCACGAAGGUUUGCUAAUGACGGUCGGACAUCGUCAGGUUAGUGCAAUGGUAUAAGCAAGCUUAACUGCGAGACAGACAAGUCGAGCAGGUGCGAAAGCAGGUCAUAGUGAUCCGGUGGUUCUGAAUGGAAGGGCCAUCGCUCAACGGAUAAAAGGUACUCCGGGGAUAACAGGCUGAUACCGCCCAAGAGUUCAUAUCGACGGCGGUGUUUGGCACCUCGAUGUCGGCUCAUCACAUCCUGGGGCUGAAGUAGGUCCCAAGGGUAUGGCUGUUCGCCAUUUAAAGUGGUACGCGAGCUGGGUUUAGAACGUCGUGAGACAGUUCGGUCCCUAUCUGCCGUGGGCGUUGGAGAAUUGAGAGGGGCUGCUCCUAGUACGAGAGGACCGGAGUGGACGCAUCACUGGUGUACCAGUUGUCUCGCCAGAGGCAUUGCUGGGUAGCUAAAUGCGGAAGAGAUAAGUGCUGAAAGCAUCUAAGCACGAAACUUGCCUUGAGAUGAGUUCUCCCAGUCUAUAAGACUGUAAGGGUUGUUGGAGACUACGACGUAGAUAGGCUGGGUGUGUAAGCGGUGUGAGCCGUUGAGCUAACCAGUACUAAUUGCCCGAGAGGCUUAACUAUACAACGCUCAAGGGUUUUG
RNAcentral lists this ribosomal RNA (3046 nucleotides) under Avibacterium paragallinarum. RNAcentral's name for it is "23S ribosomal RNA". It matches the Rfam family "Bacterial large subunit ribosomal RNA". Lineage: Bacteria; Pseudomonadati; Pseudomonadota; Gammaproteobacteria; Pasteurellales; Pasteurellaceae. The record is from RNAcentral.